Molecule: ribosomal RNA, 253 nt
Filed under: uncultured bacterium
Lineage: Bacteria
Description: partial 16S ribosomal RNA
Rfam family: Bacterial small subunit ribosomal RNA
Source: RNAcentral
UACGUAGGUGGCAAGCGUUGUCCGGAAUUAUUGGGCGUAAAGCGCGCGCAGGCGGCCUCUUAAGUCUGAUGUGAAAGCCCACGGCUCAACCGUGGAGGGUCAUUGGAAACUGGGGGGCUUGAGUGUAGAAGAGGAGAGCGGAAUUCCACGUGUAGCGGUGAAAUGCGUAGAGAUGUGGAGGAACACCAGUGGCGAAGGCGGCUCUCUGGUCUGUAACUGACGCUGAGGCGGGAAAGCGUGGGGAGCGAACAGG